CGUGGCGCAUUCUCAUUCUCAAAUCCAGUAAAGCAGGCAAGCAGCCUCGAAAAUCCUAAUUUUUCUUUCUAGCUUCUCUUCUCCUCUAACCUCGUCCUCUAGUCCUCCGCCUCUGCGACAUCACCAUCGCCAUCGUCAGCCGUCUUCUCCAAUUCAAUCGAGACUCCAGAACUUGUGCUUCUGCAGCCUCGUCAUGAACAAGCUCCACGAUCAAGUCUUUAAAUAUCAAUCGUUCGAUAUCCAGUACUAAACCCGGUAUCUCAAUGUUGAAGUUGAUCCAAUUUGGUGAUCCAUAUGUUAGAUCUUUGUCUAUGAUGGUUGUCAGAAAGUCAUCCUCAUCAUCUAAGCUUUGAGGCAAGCUAAUAGGUUGGAGCUGAUCUAUUUCUUUAUGAAUUUGUUGCAGUAGCUGUGGGCCAGUCGUUAAAAGCCUCGACUUCGUUUGAGCGAGCUUUUGAGAUAUAAUUUCGUUCACUACAUCAAACAGGAGCCUUCUUCUACAUCGGUCAUUGGUUCUUGUUUUUCGGUCUUCAUUGUAGGAUCUCUUAUCGGAUUCAAAUCUGCUUCCUUUGGUUUGUUCGAGCACAUAGAACAGUUUUGGGUUGAUUACUUCCUGUGAUUGGUGGACAAGAUGAUCUUCUAUGUGAUCACGGUUAUGUAGGAAUCCUGAGGCGAAGAGUAUUUCAGAAACGUAUGACUUAUCUAGAUUCAAGUCUCGGUUAUUAGGAGCCGGCUCUUUGAUGUCCUCUCGUUUCUGAUAAUCAGUCAAACAACUGAAAUCUGGUUUUAUGCUAUCAGGGGAAGUUGGCUCGGCGUUUUUAAUUUCUGCUUCAGUAUAUAUUGCAUUACUCUCAAAAUCUGCAUAAAAUUCAGAUAACAUUCACUUAUGUUUUUUCCUUCAAAGAGUUUUCUUCAACAAUGUUUGGAUAUAUAUUGAAAUACCAUUUUGUGUUAAAAUGUAAACUGUUUAUUUCCAUCCUAAACAAAAGGUUGCGUAUUUCUUUUCUCCUUUAUUGUAAGCUUCUUCCACUUAGCUUCUAUUGUCGACAUUUUUAUAAACCAAAUCCUUCCAGCCAGGGAAAGAUUUUGAAGGAAAACAUACCCUCAUUUCCCUUCUGUCCCUUUCACACCUUCCCUUACCUCCAAUCCAAAUGAUACACUUAUAAAAUCAUGGACAGAAUAGUAGCUAGAGAACUUGGGUGCUGGUCGUUUAUGUUAGAGUAUUUAACAUAUCAUGGGGCUUCAACCAUCCGCUUAAGCUUUUAGUUAAUUGGAUCCUUGACAUGGUAUCAUAGCCAUCGUGACUAGAGGUCACAGGUUCGAAAUUCAACCAAUCCUCAAAUUCAAGUGGAAUAUGUCGCACUAGGUACGAGGAGAGCCCGAGCUGCACUCACACUUCUAGCCCAAAGACCUCUUGUGUGAGGGGGCCUGUUAAAGUAUAUAACAUAUCUUAGGACUUGAACCAUCAGCUUAAGCUUUGGUUGAGUUGGUUCCAUGACAGUUUAGUCAAACUAGAAUACGUUCAACUGGAUUUACAUAUGUUUUGCUUCCACAUAAUUGUCAUGGUUGUCUAAGAUUGUUUGAUUCCCCUUAAGUCUUCCCUAAGAUUGAGAAAACUAAUACUAUAUCUUUUAGGAUAGAUAAUUAACUUGCAAUGAACUAGUGAAAGAUUGCUAUCUUUACCUCUGAAUGCCGUUGGUUUCUUUUUCACCGGAGAUGGAGAUUCAUCAUCAUAGAAACUUGCAUCUAGGACUGAAACGGGGCUAGGUUGCUCCGUUACAUUUAUUGCUAGCUCUUCAAAUGCUAUAUUACCUUGAGUUCCUUCCGGUUUCUAUUAUAACAAAAGACGGUUAGUGAAGGUGAAUACAUUAGAGUACUGUUUGAUCAUGAAUUUAAUGGUAGUCAAUGACACAAACGAAAAGACGAGAAGUAUAUCUUACUUGGUCGCCCUUUACUUCUGUGUGUUGCUGGCUCGUAAGUGCUGAGUCACUGCUAAACUCACUUGAUUGGUCAUCAGCUGGUUCUUGCAAUGGUGAUAAAUUCCAUGACAGCUUUUGAUUUUGCGAGAUAGCUUGCUUUCGGUUCUUUACUUUGGAGCUGGAUUUUAUUGCUGGGGUAAUUCCGUUUAUUUGUGUGCGUCCAGUGUCUGUGAUCCUAACUGAGCUUCUCAGAUUCGACCUGGUCGUACUUUCAGGUGCUUUGGAUGUUCUUAUUGGCCUCGGAGUUAUUUCUCUCGAAUACUUGUUCAAGAUGUGAUGAGUUUCUUUGUGAUUUUUUGCAGUUUUCUUCUGUGCUGAAUCCUUCUUUCCGUCUACAGGCUGAAUCCUGAUCGUCUGCAAUCUUGCAAGCGGUAUAUCGUGUAUGACUUGAGUUGCUUGUUUUCUUGAUUCUUUUGCGGUUUUAUUCAGCUUUGUUUCCGUAGUUGAAUUAUCGUCCUCAGAAGACCUGAACCCUUUACUUGUUGGUGGAGUAGCUUGCUUCGAGCCCGGUUUUUGGCUAAUUUGAUAGGAGCCGAUGUUUUUCAUAUGAGACGUGCAAUGUUCCUGUCGAACCUCCAGCGUGCGCUUCUCCCUAUGCAUUGAUUCGAGAAUCUGUUUUAAAGCUCUAAGAUCCUUUCCAGAUCUUUUGAAAUCGAGAUCAGCCAACCUUUUCUCCAUUGCACCAUAGACAGUUGGAGGAUGGUGUAUAGAUUCCGAAUGAGCUUCGUCGUAUGUGGAAUCUGUUUGCCCUGCCUUGGCUUUGUUUAACCGUGGCAUUCUAGAUUCCUUGCAAUUACUUCUCGGGGUAUGUAAAUCAUCUUCAACCUUGCUUGCAUCAAUGUUCCGUGAUGAUCUCGAGAAUGAAUUUGAAUUUCGGAUAAUGCUCGAGUCAUCAUGCUCCGUCUGACGCCUGUUGGGUGAUUUAUAAUCCGGCAGUACUUCAAGCCCCAUCAACUUCGCCACUAUAUUAGACGGUGUCCUGCAACUUGCUGGCUCAUUUAAGUCUUGAACAGGCGCUUUCAUGUUUCGCUGCUUACUAUCCAAGGAUAGCCUCGGGAGGUCUCUAAGUUUCAAGGUAGAAAUGUUGCAGUCCCUUGCUUCCCUGCCGUCAUAAGAGAAUCGAGCAAUAUCCUUGUUCCUUGGAGUUACCGCAGGUGCACUAUGGUUCGAACUAAUCGACGGGAAUGAGUCAUUAAGCGCCGCGAGUCGCGGACUAUCCGGUCUGGAUGUAUUGGAAAGUCCACGGAAUUCCAAAUGCUUGGCAUCAUAUGUUGCCACACCUCUUUGUGCGGAUUUUUUUGGCGAUGGACUGUUGGAGAAUGUCUCUUUGUCGUGUUUCUUGUGGUGGUGGCUUAUUUUUGCUGGUGAACUUGGUCGGCGAGGUGAGGAAUGUGGCUUGCUUGCUCGGGAAUCUGAAUAUUGUCGUUCGCAGGAAAUGGUCUCCGUGGAUGGGGACUGCUCAGGCUUUGUUGCAGAUUCAUAGUCUGAUGACGAUAUAGUUGUAGAGUCGGAACACGAAAAGGAGUGUCGGGAUGAUUCUAUAGGGUUCACUUGCCUCUCUUUUAUGACAUUCCGAUGUUUUUCCUGCAAACAAACAAUUUUAUAUAUCAUCUCGUAAUACUUAUUAUCAGAUCGAGGAACAAUUUUAUAUAUCAUUUGAAACAUUUGAUUGGAAUAAUCUAACGCGGAUCAUAUUACUUAGAAAA
Molecule: long non-coding RNA, 3682 nt
Organism: Amaranthus tricolor (Joseph's coat)
Lineage: Eukaryota; Viridiplantae; Streptophyta; Magnoliopsida; Caryophyllales; Amaranthaceae
Exons: 2
Source: RefSeq, a predicted model, not a curated record